AGCGAACGCUGGCGGCAGGCCUAACACAUGCAAGUCGAACGGAUCCUUCGGGAUUAGUGGCGGACGGGUGAGUAACACGUGGGAACGUGCCCUUUGGUUCGGAACAACUCAGGGAAACUUGAGCUAAUACCGGAUGUGCCCUUCGGGGGAAAGAUUUAUCGCCAUUGGAGCGGCCCGCGUCUGAUUAGCUAGUUGGUGAGGUAACGGCCCACCAAGGCGACGCGCAGUAGCUGGUCUGAGAGGAUGAUCAGCCACACUGGGACUGCGACACGGCCCCGACUCCUACGGGAGGCAGCAGUGGGGAAUCUUGCGCACUGGGCGCAAGCCUGACGCAGCCAUGCCGCGUGAAUGAUGAAGGUCUUAGGAUUGUAAAAUUCUUUCAGCGGGGACGAUAAUGACGGUACCCGCAGAAGAAGCUCCGGCUAACUUCGUG
Molecule: ribosomal RNA, 433 nt
Filed under: uncultured bacterium
Lineage: Bacteria
Description: partial 16S ribosomal RNA
Rfam family: Bacterial small subunit ribosomal RNA
Source: RNAcentral